RNAcentral lists this ribosomal RNA (35 nucleotides) under Oxytropis pilosa. RNAcentral describes it as "partial 25S ribosomal RNA". The record is from RNAcentral. Lineage: Eukaryota; Viridiplantae; Streptophyta; Magnoliopsida; Fabales; Fabaceae.
GAGGCCUCAGGUCAGGCGGGGCUACCCGCUGAGUU